Molecule: RNA transcript, 3839 nt
Organism: Otolemur garnettii (small-eared galago)
Lineage: Eukaryota; Metazoa; Chordata; Mammalia; Primates; Galagidae
Gene name: splicing factor 3B subunit 1 pseudogene
Exons: 1
Source: RefSeq, a predicted model, not a curated record
AUGGCAACGAUCGCCAAGACUCAUGAAGAUAUCCAAGCACAGAUUCGAGAAAUUCAAGGCAAGAAGGAAGUUCUUGAUGAAGCUCAAAUAGUGGGCCUGCAUUCUACAGGUUAUUAUGACCAGGAAAUUUAUGGUGCAAGUGACAGCAGAUUUUUUGGAUAUGUGACAUCAAUUGCAGCACCGAACUUGAAGAUGAUGAGAUGACUACCAUCAUCUACAAGUUUGCUUGGUCAGAAGCCACGAUAUCAUACUCCUGUGGCAUUGCUUAAUGAUAAACCAUAGUCAGCAGAACAGUAUGAUCCAUUUGUCGAGUGUCAACCUCCAAAGAUUGUAGACUAAGAAGAUGAAUUCAAAGCAUAGGUGGACCAUGAUAAUUUCUCCAGAGCUUUCUGAUCCUUUCACAGAUGGAGGGAAGACCCCGAUCCUAAAAUGAAUGCAAGGACUUACAUGGAUGUAAUGCGAGAACAGCAUUUUAUUGAAGAAAAGGAGAAAUCAGGCAACAGCUAGCAGAAAAAACUAAAGCUGGAGAACUAAAAGUCAUCAAUGGAGCAGCAGCAUCUCAGCCUUGGUCAAAACGAAAACGGGUGCUGGGAUCAAACACCUACUGAAUCAGAUUUCUGGUCUCCCUCCUAAAAAGCUGUUAAGUUGGGAUCAAGCAGAGACCCCUGGACAUACCCCUUCCUUAAGAUGGGAUGAAACACCAGGUCAUGCAAAGGGUAGUGAGACUCCUGGAGCAACUGCAGGCUCAAAAAUAUGGGAUCCUACACCUAGCCACACACCAGCAGGAACUGCUACUUCUGGAGAAGGAAAUACACCAGGUCACGCAGCACCAGGCCAUGGUGUAAAAGCAGAUGGGAUGAGACCCCCCAACAGGAUACUCCUGGGCAUGGAAUUGGAUGGGCUGAGACUCCUCGAACAGAUACGGGAAGUGAUUCGAUUGAUGAAACCCCAACUCCUAGAGCCGGUAAAAGAAAGUCAUGUUUGGAUGAAACACCGACUAGUCAGAUGGGGGGAAGCACUCCUGUUCUGACCCAUGGAAAAACACCAAUUGGCAUACCAGCCAUGAAUAUGACUAACCCUACUCCAGGUCAGACUCUUGAACAGCUUCAGGCUUAGUGAUGGGAAAGAGAAAUUGAUGAGAGAAAUCACCCACUUUCUGCUGAAGAAUUGGAUACUGUUUUCUCAGAAGAAUAUAAAGUCCUUCCUUCUCCAACUGGUUACAUUCCUGUUCAAACUCCAGCUUGAAAGUUGACAGCUACAACAAUACCUUUGGGUGGUAUGACUGGUUUGCACAUGCAACCUGAAGAUAAAACUAUGAAAAGUGUUAAUGAUCAGCCAUCUGGAAAUCCUCCAUUUUUAAAACCUGAUGAUAUUCAGUACUUUGGUAAACUAUUGGCUGAUGCUGAUGAAUCAACACUUGGUCCAGAAGAACAGAAAGUGAGGAAAAUAAUGAAGUUGCCUUUGAAAUUUAAGAAUGGAACACCACCAAUGAGAAAGGCUGCAUUGAGUCAGAUUACUGAUGAAGCUAAAGAAUUUGGAGCUGGUCCUUUGUUUAAUCAGAUUCUUCCUCUACUGAUGUCUGCUAUACUUGAGGAUCAGGAGCAUCAUUUACUUGUGAGAGUUGUUGAUAGAAUACUGUAAAAACUUGAUGACUUAGUUCAACCAUAUGUGCACAAGAUCCUUGAAGUCAUUGAACCACUGUUAGUUGAUGAAGAUGAUUAUGCUCAAGUGGAAGGCCGAGAGAUUAUUACUAAUUUAACAAAGGCUGCUGGUCUGGCUACUAUGAUCUCCACAUGAGAGCUUCUAUAGGUAAUAUGGAUGAAUAUGUCCAUAAUACAACAACUAGAGCUUUUGCUGUUGUAGCCUCUGCCCUGGGCAUUCCUCCUUUAUUGCCCUUCUUAAAUGCCAUGUGUAAAAGCAAAAAGUCCUGGAAAGCAAGACACACUGGUAUUAAGAUUGUACAGCAGAUAGCUAUUCUUAUGGGCUGUGCCAUCUUGCCACAUCUCAGAUGUUUAGUUGAAAUCAUUGAACACUGUCUUGUGGAUGAGCAGCAGAAAGUUCAGACCAUUACUGCUUUGGCCAUUGCUACCUUGGAUGAGGCAGCAACUCCUUAUGGUAUCGAAUCUUUUGAUUCUGUGUUCAAGCCUCUAGGGAAGGGUAUCCGCCAACACAGAGGCCUGAAUUUGGCUGCUUUCUUAAAGGCCAUUGGAUAUCUUAUUCCUCUCAUGAAUGCAGAAUAUGCUAACUAUUACAUGAGAGAAAUAAUGUUAAUUCUUAUUCGAGAAUUCCAGUCUCCCGAUGAGGAAAUGAAGAAAAUUGUGCUGAAGGUGGUAAAACAGUGUUGUGGGACAGAUGGUGUAGAAGCAAACUAUAUUAAAACAGAGAUUUUUCCUCCUUUUUUAAAAUACUUCUGGCAACACAGAAUGGCUUUGAAUAGAGGUAAUUACCAACAGUUAGUUGAUACCACUGUGGAGUUGGCCAACAAAGUAGGUGCAGCAGAAAUUAUAUCCAGGAUAGUGGAUGAGCUGAAAGAUGAAACUGAACAAUACAGAAAAAUGAUGAUGAAGACAACUGAGAAAAUGAUGGGCACCUUGGGAGAAGCAGAUAUAAACUUGAAGAACAACUGAUUGGUGAUAUUCUUUAUGCUUUCCAAGAAUAGAUGACAGAGGACUCAGUACUGUUCAGUGGCUUUGGCACAGUGGUAAAUGCUCUUGGCAAAUGAGUCAAACCAUACUUGCCUCAGAUCUGUGGUACAGUUUUGUGACAUUUAAAUAACAAAUCAGCAAAAGUUAGGCAGCCAACUUGCUAUCCCAAACUGCUGUUGUCAUGAAGACUUGUCAAGAGGAAAAAUUGAUGGGGCACUUGGGUGUUGCAUGAGUAUUUGGGUGACGAGCACCCCUAAGUAUUGGGCAGCAUUCUUAAAGCACUGGAGUCCAUUAUGCAUGUUACAGGUAUGCAUAAGAUGACCCCACCAAUUAAAGAUCUGCUACCUAGACUCACCGCCAUCUUAAACAACAAGCAUGAAAAAGUACAAGAGAAUUAUAUUGAUCUCGUUGGAUGUAUUGCUGACAGGGGAGCUGAGUAUGUAUCUGCAAGACAAUGGAUGAGGAUUUGCUUUGAGCUUUUAUAGCUCUUUAAAGCUUACAAAAACUAUUCAUAGGACCACAGUCAACACUUUUGUUUAUAUUGCAAGGGCCAUUGGUCCUCAUGAAGUAUUGGCUACGCUUCUAAACAACCUCAAAGUUUAGGAAGGGCAGAACAGAGUUUGUACCACUGUAGCAAUAGCUAUUAAUGCAGAAACAUGUUCACCUUUCACAGUACUCCCAGCUUUAAUGAAUGAAUACAGAGUUCCUCAACUGAAUGUUCAAAGUGAAGUGUUAAAAUCAUUUUCCUUCUUGCUUGAAUAUAUUGGUGAAAUGGGAGAGGACUACAUUUAUGCUGUAACACCUUUACUUGAAGAUGCUUUAAUGGUACACAGGCAGAUCACUAGUUUGGUAGUGCAACACCAGUCGCUUGGAGUUUUUGGAUUUGGUUGUGAAGAUUCACUGAAUAACGUGUUGAACUAUGUAUGGCCCAAUGUGUUUGAGACAUCUCCUCAUGUAAUUCAGGCAGUUAUGGGAGCCUUGGACGGCCUGAGAGUUGCUAUUGGACCAUGUAGAAUAUUGCAGUUUUGUUUACAGGGUUUGUUUCACCCAGCCUGAAAAGUCAGAGAUGUAUACUGGAAAAUUUCCAAUUUCAUCUACAUUGGUUCCCAGGACAGUCUCAUAGCACAUUACCCAAGAAUCUACAAUGAUGGCAAUAACAUCUAUAUUCAUUACAAACUUGACUAUAUCUUAUAA